This is a long non-coding RNA of Gadus macrocephalus (Pacific cod), 2757 nucleotides long. RefSeq lists it as uncharacterized. The transcript has 3 exons. Lineage: Eukaryota; Metazoa; Chordata; Actinopteri; Gadiformes; Gadidae. The record is from RefSeq and is a predicted model, not a curated record.
UUUAAUAUUAUCCUAUCUAUCAUAUAAUAUGAUCUGAUUUGAAAUUAUAUCAUACUAUAUUACAUUAUGAUACAUAAUAUGAUCUACAAUUGUAUCUCAUUAAAUUGUAUUAUGUGAGGUUAUUAUAUGAUUCGGUAUUAUAUAUUAUCUAAGGUAUUAUAUAUUAUAAUAUCCAGCGGUUAAAGGAGUACUUUACCUUGCAUUACGUGCUUUUUAAGUCAGUUAAAGUAGUAAUACCGCACUGUAGGAAUACUCUGUUAGUAAAAGGAAAUGUACAUGAAUGAACAAAAGUAUGAGCACCAAAUAUACUUAAGGAACAAAAUUAAAAGUACUCAUUAUGCAGUAUGACCCAACAUUUAUUGUUUUAUUGGAUUUAUUAUUCAUAAUAAUUCCAUUUAUUGAUGCAUUAAUGUGUUAAUCACUUUAAUGUUGCAUCUGGAAAGGUUGGACCUCAUUUAUAUAUAUAGCAAAAUGCUUAAUCGAAUAGUUAUAUAAAUGAAGUAUGAUUAUAUUUUCUAUUUCUAAUAUGAAUCUGCAAGUAACCAAGGGUGUCAGGUAAAUGUAGAGGGGUAGAAAUAAUAAUAUUUGCCUCUGAGAUGUAGUACAGAAGUAAAAGGUAGCAGAAAAUAGAAAUAAUAGCCAGUGUUAUAAUCCGGUGUUUCUCUAGUUCGGCUCUAUCUCUGACUCUGAUUAUUCUACCAAAUUACAACAUUAUGAACUAUGGCUCUUUGACAAACAUCAGCAACUACAGAGUAGCUGCUGGACUUCAAACUUUAAAAUCAAUACUAUCAGUUCAACUAAUAUCAGUUAGAUAAGCGCUAUUAUAUUGGUUAUGAAGCUCAUAUAGUUUCCUGAGACCCUAUUAGGGAUGGAGGUGGAAUAAACCUAUUCACAGGUCUUUAAAGGUAAGGGUUAAAAAACACAAUUAAUUUAUAUGGAAUAUUGGUUCCAUUUGAUACCUAAGUCUUUGCAUUACUCAAUCCUCUUGGCAAAUGAACAGCACCGUUCUGUCUAAACACUAACCCAGUCUGGCUUUGGCUGGACAGCAAUUAAGAUCCUCAUAUGGAUGAACUGACUGAUGAACUGGAAAACCCUCCCAACAGGGCUGAUUGGUAUUAUCACUCUAGUCCUUUUUUGGGAGAUGCUUUCAUCGGGCUUGAAGCCAGACUGAUAUACACUGGGAAAUAGAAAGUGAACUUGCAAGAUCAGAAUGGUCCCCCAAGGCAACUGUUUACCACUAACCACAACGAUGGCAGUUAAAAUAAUAAUAAUGUUAGAACUAAUCUAGUGAAACCAGGAAUCAACGGAUUAAGCAUAUAAACGUACUGAAUCAGUACGUUUACAUGUACAGCUUAAUCAGAUUAGAGCCAUAGUUCGACUAUGCUCCUCAAUCGGACAACUGCAAUUGUCUGAGUAUUCAUUGCGGUGAGAAAAUCAAUUCAUUAGCCGAAGCAUGUCACGAUAGGUGGCACUGUGCCCAUUUCAACUAAUAGAGCCACCGGCGGCAUUCAAGAAAGAUGGGGCCUCUACAAAUAGUCUAAUUUCCUAACCUUUAUGCCUCUUUUCCUUUACCUUUGUGGAAAACAUCAUCGGGUCAAGGAGGAUUGAAAAUAUGCUUCCUUUCAAACAUAGGAAAAGACAGCACUGUUUAAAAUGUAUUCAGGAAUAUUUUUGGCGACUUGAAUCCCAAUUCACAUGUGAAAAAAAAGGCUCAAUUUACGUUGAUGUUGAAAUUAACUGCCCCCUAGCCUGGGUAUACCCAUGCUGCCUUGCUCACGAUUUCAUUUGGCGCUGCCAGGCAGCCUGGAUUCCAUGGAUUCGAUUUUCGCCUGAGAUAGGGAACCAAUCACAGAACGGGGAGGGACGGCAAGACGAUUACAGCAACCCACCGAAGCUAUCGUAAACUAAGCCUGGACGUAACUGCUAAGACGUCUUAGUUAAGACCUGGCGUUAGAAUGGAACUAACACCGGUUGCACCAACGGGACUUACGCCUGGUCUUACCUACGCCCGGUCUUACAUUUGAAAGUCCUACCUCUCCUUUCUACAGGGGCGGCCAUCUUUAAACGUGACAGGUGGAUCCAUAGACAAUAAGCAUGUGAUACAUGCUCUGACAAAUACUUACCUUUUUUCAAUAGACUAGAUGUGACAGGUGGAUCCAUAGACCAGUCACUCUUCAUGGAGACACAGCUGGGUUCAGGGGAGUCUGCUCUGUCCUGCUGCUCGGGGCUUCAGUACGAAACACACGCAACUUUGACUCAGUUUCAGUCAUGAAACUUCGCUCUGGGGGCCAUGUUCCAUAGACAUGGUGCUUUUAGAAGUAGGCCCCCCCUCCUCCAUCUCCUCAUUCAAGAGAAAAUAACUGAAAGGGCCGGGACACGGAUCCGGUCCGGGUUCUGAAGGUUCUAGACAGCUAGGUUAAAGGGGAGCACGCAGAUAUGUAUUCCAUCUGGAUACUUUCACCGGGGGCGGUGUGUUAGAAUGGUUUAGUAGUGCCCAAUAAACGGCUCUGGGCAAUCGUAAACCACGCCUCAAAUACGAGAGAAUGAAUGUGUGGUUCCCAGACCUCAUCUCAAUGUAGAUGAGAUGAGGUCUGGCGUUAGCCAGGCUAACUGCCCCCAGUAGUCUUUCUUAAAUGUGAAGUUGGCCUUUUAUUUUCUUACGGUUAAUACUGUGUGCUUAAUAACCAGCAAUAAAUGAAUUCAUUUAGAUUCAAAUAAUGUUUCUGGAAUUGGUAUCCAUUAUUAUCAUUUGUAUUU